This 253-nucleotide ribosomal RNA is filed under the name uncultured bacterium. Its description in RNAcentral is "partial 16S ribosomal RNA". It matches the Rfam family "Bacterial small subunit ribosomal RNA", at positions 524 to 776 of the family's 1533-position model. The record is from RNAcentral.
UACGAAGGGUCCAAGCGUUGUUCGGAAUCAUUGGGCGUAAAGCGCGCGCAGGCGGGUUAGCAAGUCAGAUGUGAAAUCCCGGGGCUCAACCUCGGAACUGCCUUUGAUACUGCAAGUCUCGAGUCCGAUAGAGGUGGGUGGAAUUCCUAGUGUAGAGGUGAAAUUCGUAGAUAUUAGGAAGAACACCGGUGGCGAAGGCGGCCCACUGGAUCGGUACUGACGCUGAGGUGCGAAAGCGUGGGGAGCAAACAGG